AGAGUUUGAUCAUGGCUCAGGAUGACCGCUGGCGGUAUGCCUUACACAUGCAAGUCGUACGAGAGUUUUUAACUCAAGUGGCGGACGGGUGAGUAACACGUAAGAAUUUACCUUUAGGAGGGGGACAACAACUGGAAACGGUUGCUAAUACCCCAUAUGCUUUCGAGUAAAAUGGAUUUUCCGCCUAAAGAGAAGCUUGCGGCUGAUUAGCUUGUUGGUGAGGUAACGGCUCACCAAGGCGACGAUCAGUAUCUGGUUUGAGAGGGCGAUCAGACACACUGGAACUGAGACACGGUCCAGACUCCUACGGGAGGCAGCAGUGGGGAAUUUUCCGCAAUGGGCGAAAGCCUGACGGAGCAAUACCGCGUGAGGGAUGACGGCCUAUGGGUUGUAAACCUCUUUUUUCAGGGAGGAAUCAAUGACGUGUACCUGAAGAAUAAGCAUCGGCUAACUCCGUGCCAGCAGCCGCGGUAAUAC
This 477-nucleotide ribosomal RNA is filed under the name uncultured bacterium. RNAcentral's name for it is "bacterial SSU rRNA". It matches the Rfam family "Bacterial small subunit ribosomal RNA", at positions 8 to 526 of the family's 1533-position model. The record is from RNAcentral.